This 450-nucleotide ribosomal RNA is filed under the name uncultured bacterium. RNAcentral describes it as "bacterial SSU rRNA". It matches the Rfam family "Bacterial small subunit ribosomal RNA", at positions 354 to 796 of the family's 1533-position model. The record is from RNAcentral.
GUGGGGAAUAUUGGACAAUGGGCGAAAGCCUGAUCCAGCCAUGCCGCGUGUGUGAAGAAGGUCUUCGGAUUGUAAAGCACUUUAAGUUGGGAGGAAGGGCAGUAAGUUAAUACCUUGCUGUUUUGACGUUACCAACAGAAUAAGCACCGGCUAACUUCGUGCCAGCAGCCGCGGUAAUACGAAGGGUGCAAGCGUUAAUCGGAAUUACUGGGCGUAAAGCGCGCGUAGGUGGUUCAGCAAGUUGGAGGUGAAAUCCCCGGGCUCAACCUGGGAACUGCCUCCAAAACUACUGGGCUAGAGUACGGUAGAGGGUAGUGGAAUUUCCUGUGUAGCGGUGAAAUGCGUAGAUAUAGGAAGGAACACCAGUGGCGAAGGCGACUACCUGGACUGAUACUGACACUGAGGUGCGAAAGCGUGGGGAGCAAACAGGAUUAGAUACCCGAGUAGUCC